GCAGUCGUGGCCGAGUGGUUGAGGCGAAGGACUAGAAAUCCAUUGGGGUCUCCCCGCACAGGUUCGAAUCCUGUCGACUGCG
RNAcentral lists this transfer RNA (82 nucleotides) under Ixodes scapularis (black-legged tick). It matches the Rfam family "tRNA". From Rfam's summary of the family: Transfer RNA (tRNA) molecules are approximately 80 nucleotides in length. Their secondary structure includes four short double-helical elements and three loops (D, anti-codon, and T loops). Further hydrogen bonds mediate the characteristic L-shaped molecular structure. tRNAs have two regions of fundamental functional importance: the anti-codon, which is responsible for specific mRNA codon recognition, and the 3' end, to which the tRNAs corresponding amino acid is attached (by aminoacyl-tRNA synthetases). tRNAs cope with the degeneracy of the genetic code in two manners: having more than one tRNA (with a specific anti-codon) for a particular amino acid; and 'wobble' base-pairing, i.e. permitting non-standard base-pairing at the 3rd anti-codon position. Lineage: Eukaryota; Metazoa; Arthropoda; Arachnida; Ixodida; Ixodidae. The record is from Rfam by way of RNAcentral.